CGUGUAAAGCUAUCCAAAUCAAUUGAAUUUUGGUUAGAAAAUUCUUUAAACUAUUUUGAACAAGAUUUAUACUCUCAAUCUUGAUUACAAAAUUUCUAUUAUCACUUUUUAGAUAAUUGUCACGCCCCGGGGUCCCCUUUUUGUUUGAAACACAGCGGAAAAGCAUUUGAAUUUUUUUUGAAAACCUGACCCAGAGUAUGCCAGAUCCGCCACAAAUACAGGGAAUCCACUGUUCACACGGACAGAGUCUCCCCUGUACUUGCACGGCGUCACACAAGUACAAAAGUACAAACAGUAUACAACCACAAUUAAAUGAAUAUACAGAUAGCUAUACAUUCAUACAUUCACCAUUCACCCCGUAGUUUUACAUUCGAUGUUUAAACAGAAGUCCACGAAAAAUCUUUUGAAAACUGUUUCGUACGCGAAAACUUUUAUCUUUUAUAGAAGNAACUCUAUAUAUAUAUAUAUAUAUAUAGUGCCAUUCGAUCCCUUCAACCAUGCAUUUACCAACAUUUUCUAAUUAAUUAUUAUUCAUUAGCAGCCUAGUUCCUAAUUAAUAAGCGGCUUAUAUCUCUCUCUCUCUCUCUCUCUCUCUCUCUCUAUAUAUAUAUAUAUAUAUGAGUAGGGCUAGAAUACUUGUAAAAGUAUCAUGGGGGUGAUAAUUGUGUGUUUUUAGCCCUUAGAUGGAGAGAUGUGAGGUUGAGAUGAUAGUGGUAGGUGGUGGUAGGUGGAAUAGUGUUUAAUCCAAGGACUAUUAAUAAUAAAAAAGUAGAUCUAAUGACUUAAAACCUAAUAGCACCAUGAUGGUAAUACUUGUAAAAGUAUCAUAGCUCAACUCUAUAUAUAUAUAUAUAUAU
Molecule: long non-coding RNA, 857 nt
Filed under: Ananas comosus (pineapple)
Lineage: Eukaryota; Viridiplantae; Streptophyta; Magnoliopsida; Poales; Bromeliaceae
Description: long non-coding RNA (ACOM_LNC005008)
Source: RNAcentral